This 637-nucleotide ribosomal RNA is filed under the name uncultured rumen bacterium. RNAcentral describes it as "bacterial SSU rRNA". It matches the Rfam family "Bacterial small subunit ribosomal RNA", at positions 74 to 705 of the family's 1533-position model. The record is from RNAcentral.
GGAAGCUUGCUUCUCUGCUGACGAGUGGCGGACGGGUGAGUAAUGUCUGGGAAGCUGCCUGCUUGAGGGGGAUAGCGGAGCGAAAGUUCCGAUAAUACCGCGUAAGCCCGAGAGGGGAAAGUGCGGGACCGCAAGGCCGCACGCGAGCAGAUGCGCCCAGAUGGGAUUAGGCAGUUGGGGAGGUAAUGGCUCACCAAACCGAUGAUCUCUAGCUGGUUUGAGAGGACAAUCAGCCACAUUGGAAUUGAGAAACGGACCAAACUCCUACGGGAGGCAGCAGUGGGGAAUAUUGCACAAUGGGGGAAACCCUGAUGCAGCCAUGCCGCGUGUGUGAAGAAGGCCUUCGGGUUGUAAAGCACUUUUGCAUUCGAGGAAGACAGCACGUAAAUAAACGUGUUAUUUGACGUUAGAGUGUGAAUAAGCACCGGCAAACUCCGUGCCAGCAGCCGCGGUAAUACGGAGGGUGCGAGCGUUAAUCGGAAUGACUGGGCGUAAAGGGCACGCAGGUGGCGAGAUAAGUUGGAUGUGAAAUUCCCGUGCUUAACAUGGGGACUGCAUCCAAAACUGUUGAACUGGAGUACUGUAGAGGGAGGUAGAAUUCCACGUGUAGCGGUGAAAUGCGUAGAGAUGUGGAAGA